RNAcentral lists this ribosomal RNA (405 nucleotides) under uncultured bacterium. RNAcentral's name for it is "bacterial SSU rRNA". It matches the Rfam family "Bacterial small subunit ribosomal RNA", at positions 29 to 418 of the family's 1533-position model. The record is from RNAcentral.
AACGAACGCUGGCGGCGUGCCUAACACAUGCAAGUCGUGCGAGAAAGUUCCUUCGGGAGCGAGUAAAGCGGCGCACGGGUGAGUAACACGUAGGUAACCUGCCCCCCAGUCUGGAACAACUAGAGGAAACUCUAGCUAAUGCCGGAUGAGACCACGAUCCCUUCGGGGGUUGCGGCCAAAGAUGGCCUCUACUUGUAAGCUAUCGCUGAGGGAUGGGCCUGCGGGCCAUUAGCUUGUUGGUGAGGUAACGGCUCACCAAGGCUGUGAUGGCUAGCUGGUCUGAGAGGAUGACCAGCCACACUGGGACUGAGACACGGCCCAGACUCCUACGGGAGGCAGCAGUGGGAAUAUUGCGCAAUGGGCGAAAGCCUGACGCAGCGACGCCGCGUGGGUGAUGAAGGCCUC